This 496-nucleotide ribosomal RNA is filed under the name uncultured bacterium. Its description in RNAcentral is "partial 16S ribosomal RNA". It matches the Rfam family "Bacterial small subunit ribosomal RNA", at positions 29 to 507 of the family's 1533-position model. The record is from RNAcentral.
ACGAACGCUGGCGGCGUGCCUAAUACAUGCAAGUAGAACGCUGAAGAGAGGAGCUUGCUCUUCUUGGAUGAGUUGCGAACGGGUGAGUAACGCGUAGGUAACCUGCCUUGUAGCGGGGGAUAACUAUUGGAAACGAUAGCUAAUACCGCAUAACAAUGGAUGACACAUGUCAUUUAUUUGAAAGGGGCAAUUGCUCCACUACAAGAUGGACCUGCGUUGUAUUAGCUAGUAGGUGAGGUAAUGGCUCACCUAGGCGACGAUACAUAGCCGACCUGAGAGGGUGAUCGGCCACACUGGGACUGAGACACGGCCCAGACUCCUACGGGAGGCAGCAGUAGGGAAUCUUCGGCAAUAGGGGCAACCCUGACCGAGCAACGCCGCGUGAGUGAAGAAGGUUUUCGGAUCGUAAAGCUCUGUUGUAAGUCAAGAACGGGUGUGAGAGUGGAAAGUUCACACUGUGACGGUAGCUGACCAGAAAGGGACGGCUAACUACGUG